RNAcentral lists this ribosomal RNA (198 nucleotides) under Triticum aestivum (bread wheat). Its description in RNAcentral is "partial small subunit ribosomal RNA". Lineage: Eukaryota; Viridiplantae; Streptophyta; Magnoliopsida; Poales; Poaceae. The record is from RNAcentral.
AUGGGUGGUUUGAUUAUACAGGGCGAAAUGGAGAAAGCAUUUGUAAUGUUCGAGAUAAUAACUAUGCGUGCGACAUUUUUGGUCCGAUGCUCGUGCAUGCUACGUACUUCUGAACCACACAGAUUGAAAAGAUGUUGGGAUCCAACGGGCCAGCCGGGAGAUCGUACGGAAAUCAGAUGGAAAUUGUCGUGCGGGUAG